RNAcentral lists this ribosomal RNA (274 nucleotides) under uncultured bacterium. RNAcentral's name for it is "partial 16S ribosomal RNA". It matches the Rfam family "Bacterial small subunit ribosomal RNA", at positions 523 to 796 of the family's 1533-position model. The record is from RNAcentral.
AUACGGAGGGCGCAAGCGUUAAUCGGAAUUACAGGGCGUAAAGCGUACGUAGGCGGUUAUUUAAGUCAGAUGUGAAAGCCCCGGGCUUAACUUGGGAACUGCAUUUGAAACUGGGUAACUAGAGUUUAGUAGAGGGGAGUGGAAUUUCAGGUGUAGCGGUGAAAUGCGUAGAGAUCUAAAGGAACACCAGUGGCGAAGGCGACUCCCUGGACUAAAACUGACGCUGAGGUACGAAAGCGUGGGUAGCAAACAGGAUUAGAAACCCGGGUAGUCC